UGAAAAAUGUCUUAAUAUGAAAAUUACUCAUUCUUUAUUGUUCACUUAAAAUCCUAAUGAAGAAGUAAUAUCUAGUAAAAAUUUUGAUUGUUAUAUAGAGCUAACCUACUAAGAGAUUUUAAAUGAAAGAAUAAAAAGAAAAACUUAGUUUGCUGCUAUUUAGUUAUUUAUGUAUAAUUUAACACAAGAAUUCUUGACUAUUAGAAAUUUUAUUAUACAUUGGAUAUGAUUUAUAGACUUGAUAGUAUAUAAGAGGCCUGUGCAAUAACUCUAGUAAUAUGUAACUAAAAGCACUGAACUAUUUUAACAACUAGAUUGAUUAUUACAAUUUAUAUACAUUUUACAGAGAUUAAAAUUUUCAGGAUCUGUCUAUUCUAAAGUUUUCAAAUAAAAAGAUAAAUUUCCUAAGAGAUUAUAUUUAGAAGCAAUGAUAAUAUAUGAAAAAAGCCCAGGCUUAUUUCAUAUUGUUUAGAUGAUUUUCUGUCUAAUUGUUUUGUGUUUUUUGUCUUCCUUAUUAUAGUAAUUCAGACUAAUGACCCACAUUUAAAAUAUGCAAUAGUGGCUGACUGAGUAGCUAUUGUGUAUUAUAACUAAGAAAAAUACUGAUCAGUAGUUUCCUGUUCAGCAAAAUCGGAAGAAUAAGGAGGUCUUUAAAGUUGUACUUUUUCGUUUGUUUGUCCUUGCUUGCAUCUUCCUUUGCAUGUGCAAUAUACAAAUAAGCCUUUAGGUGAAAUGUAUUUAUCCCUGCCUUUUGCAACGGACUUACCCUAAAAGUCAUCAUCAAAACACUAUGUCUUUUUUUUUUCUCUUUUUCUAUUGUAGUGAAUUAGAUAUAU
RNAcentral lists this long non-coding RNA (836 nucleotides) under Homo sapiens (human). Its description in RNAcentral is "HSALNT0010605". Lineage: Eukaryota; Metazoa; Chordata; Mammalia; Primates; Hominidae. The record is from RNAcentral.